This 72-nucleotide transfer RNA is filed under the name Camelus bactrianus (Bactrian camel). It matches the Rfam family "tRNA". From Rfam's summary of the family: Transfer RNA (tRNA) molecules are approximately 80 nucleotides in length. Their secondary structure includes four short double-helical elements and three loops (D, anti-codon, and T loops). Further hydrogen bonds mediate the characteristic L-shaped molecular structure. tRNAs have two regions of fundamental functional importance: the anti-codon, which is responsible for specific mRNA codon recognition, and the 3' end, to which the tRNAs corresponding amino acid is attached (by aminoacyl-tRNA synthetases). tRNAs cope with the degeneracy of the genetic code in two manners: having more than one tRNA (with a specific anti-codon) for a particular amino acid; and 'wobble' base-pairing, i.e. permitting non-standard base-pairing at the 3rd anti-codon position. The record is from Rfam by way of RNAcentral. Lineage: Eukaryota; Metazoa; Chordata; Mammalia; Artiodactyla; Camelidae. RNAcentral also lists the same sequence under 2 other names.
GAGGGUAUAGCUCAGUGGUAGAGCACAUGCUUAGCAUGUGUGAGGUCCUGGGUUCAAUCCCCAGUACCUCCA